Molecule: unclassified non-coding RNA, 585 nt
Filed under: Sedum longipes
Lineage: Eukaryota; Viridiplantae; Streptophyta; Magnoliopsida; Saxifragales; Crassulaceae
Description: partial contains external transcribed spacer and 18S ribosomal RNA
Rfam family: Eukaryotic small subunit ribosomal RNA (bases 534-585)
Source: RNAcentral
GCGGCCUUUUAGCCAUUUAUGUUGUUUGAUUUGAUUUCAAGUUGCGAGAGUUUGUUAGUUGCGAGAGUGUUAAAAACAAUCAAAUCGAUGGCAUUUUUGGUUAGAUCGACGCGUUGACGUGUGAGUGGCAAAUAGAUUGUAUGUUUUGGCUGGCUCCCUGCUUGUGCAGCGAACAGUUUCUGCUUACACAAUUCAGUUGAGAAACUUUAUCGUCCCUAGUAGAUAUUUGUGUUGGCAAUCCGAUUUAGUAAUUGAUUGGUCCCAAAAGUUUGAAUUCGCCGAACACCCUUUGAGGUGGCCGGGCGACGAUGAAGAUGCCCCAUAUUUUUCCAUGCUCUAUCCUUUUUGGGGACCCAUGGAAUUUUGUUAGCAUUGCUUGUUGCCUCGGAUGCAGAGCGUGAAAUGAGCAUGAUGUGCCCCAUCAUUGCUUUUUCAGAGCUCUCGAUUGCUCAAAAAGAUAGACCGCCGCACUUGGUUUUAGGCUCGCGACUUGUCGUCUUGCUUGAAACCUAGUCGACGUCUUCGAUGAAUGCUACCUGGUUGAUCCUGCCAGUAGUCAUAUGCUUGUCUCAAAGAUUAAGCCAU